Molecule: transfer RNA, 77 nt
Filed under: Pseudoalteromonas luteoviolacea
Lineage: Bacteria; Pseudomonadati; Pseudomonadota; Gammaproteobacteria; Alteromonadales; Pseudoalteromonadaceae
Also listed under: 73 other names
Description: tRNA-Pro
Rfam family: tRNA
About the family: Transfer RNA (tRNA) molecules are approximately 80 nucleotides in length. Their secondary structure includes four short double-helical elements and three loops (D, anti-codon, and T loops).
Source: RNAcentral
CGGCGAUUAGCGCAGCUUGGUAGCGCACUUGGUUUGGGUCCAAGGGGUCGCAGGUUCAAAUCCUGCAUCGCCGACCA